Molecule: unclassified non-coding RNA, 700 nt
Filed under: Hevea brasiliensis (rubber tree)
Lineage: Eukaryota; Viridiplantae; Streptophyta; Magnoliopsida; Malpighiales; Euphorbiaceae
Source: RNAcentral
GCUGAGCGUCCUCUUUUCGGUGGUGCUAUUUCCACUACUUUCCCUAUCCGAUUCCAGGAUGUUAGUAAUGUCCGUCAAGUUCCUGAUCAUCAGGAGGCAUUUGUGGACCCUGAGCGCGAUGAGAGUUUGAUAAUUGAGCUUCUGGAUCUGAAGAUGGAUGUAGCAGACAGUGGAAGUGCCACUUGGUUUCUUCAAGACCUUGCCAAUGAACAAGAGGCUGAGGGAGCUACAAUCACUGAGCAGUCAGCAGUGUUUGAGGCCCCUGGAUUGUGCUAUAGAAACAUGCCUGCUGUCAUCACCACCGCUGUUGGUCAGAUGGCAGUUGCCAAGGGAAAACAAGGGAGGGAAGCACAGAACUUGGUUAAGGUGUACCUGGCAAACAUUCGCCUUAAGGAAGUUGGGACAGAUGUACUGAUAACUGCAUAUGAGCCUCUAGUAAUUAACCCCUUGAGUGAGAGUGCUACCGCAGUUGGGGCAGGCAUGGCUGUACCUGCUGCACAGUCUGGAGUUAUGCCAAUGGCUGAAGUUUUUAAACUUGCAGUCUCUAGUUUCAAAGUGCACAACUGGAGUCUCUUUAGCUCUGCUGCUGCUUGAGUUGCAGUUACAUACAUCUGGCAUCACUUGGUUGAUUAUAGGUCCAUUUUCGAAGAGCCCGAUUAUUUUGUGUUUUUCUUUUGAAGUUUAUGGUUCCUGUUUUAUA